Molecule: ribosomal RNA, 253 nt
Filed under: uncultured bacterium
Lineage: Bacteria
Description: partial 16S ribosomal RNA
Rfam family: Bacterial small subunit ribosomal RNA
Source: RNAcentral
GACGGAGGAUGCAAGUGUUAUCCGGAAUCACUGGGCGUAAAGCGUCUGUAGGUGGUUUAAAAAGUCUACUGUUAAAAAUUGAAGCUUAACUUCAAAGAUGCCGUAGAAACUUUUAAACUCGAGGAUGGUAGGGGUAGAGGGAAUUUCCAGUGGAGCGGUGAAAUGCGUAGAUCUUGGAAAGACCACCAAUGGCGAAGGCACUCUACUGGGCCAUUACUGACACUAAGGGACGAAAGCUAGGGGAGCAAAUGGG